This 113-nucleotide ribosomal RNA is filed under the name Danio rerio (zebrafish). The record is from RNAcentral. Lineage: Eukaryota; Metazoa; Chordata; Actinopteri; Cypriniformes; Danionidae.
AGCCACAGCCAUAUCACCAUGCAGCCCAAGACUGGUGACUCACUUUAAGCAGGGCUGAGCCUGGUCAGUACCUGGAUGGGAGACCACAUGGGAAAACUAGGUUGCUGUUGGAA